RNAcentral lists this long non-coding RNA (602 nucleotides) under Capra hircus (goat). RNAcentral's name for it is "lncRNA (ENSCHIG00000001804.1)". The record is from RNAcentral. Lineage: Eukaryota; Metazoa; Chordata; Mammalia; Artiodactyla; Bovidae.
CAGCAAGUACAAAAGCUGUGAGUCACCAGAUUACACUUGUUGCCACGGAGACACACAUCAUCCUAGUCUACUGGUCCCUUCAGGUCUGGGGCUGCUGUUUCCACUCCACCCAUGGAGGGAUCAGGUGAGGAGGGGUGAGCCCCUUGCUGUGCUCAACCCUCUGGGUCUGGGUCCUGCCAGGGAGUAGGGUGCUGCUUCCCGAUUCUCUGGGACCUGUUCUAACUGGUUCAAAACAAGGACAUCAAGCUGCAGCUGUCUGAGAACAUCUAUAGAGCAUCGGGAAGUGAAAAAGUGCAUUUUCUGUUUCCUGCUGUUGUGGAUUAUUGUCUUGUGGCUUUCACCAGAUGUUCACAGGGACAAGAAAAUUCCCCACCUGACGUGGAGGAGAAGCUGAUGAUGGAAGCAUGACAUUCAUUCAAGAGCGAGGAAGAACGUGGUCUUUUUCCCCUCCCCACUUUUUCUUUGAUUGUAAACUGUAGCCCACUAAGUUCUUGGGGUGUAGUACCCUCUCACCCUCCUGCUUGUAAGCCUCAAAAUCAUCCUAUUCUAAUAAAUCAUUUCUUGUCUAUCUCUUUGCCUCUCGUUGAAUUCUUUCUGAGCUG